GUAAUCGCGGAUCAGCAUGCCGCGGUGAAUACGUUCCCGGGCCUUGUACACACCGCCCGUCACACCAUGAGAGUCGGGAACACCCGAAGUCCGUAGUCUAACCGCAAGGAGGGCGCGGCCGAAGGUGGGUCCGGUAAUUGGGGUGAAGUCGUAACAAGGUACC
Molecule: ribosomal RNA, 163 nt
Filed under: uncultured bacterium
Lineage: Bacteria
Description: partial 16S ribosomal RNA
Rfam family: Bacterial small subunit ribosomal RNA
Source: RNAcentral